UACGGAGGGUGCAAGCAUUGAUCGGAAUUACUGGGCGUAAAGGGCGCGUAGGCGGCAAAACAAGUCGGAUGUGAAAUUCCGGGGCUCAACCCCGGAGCUGCAUUUGAAACUAUUUAGCUAGAGUUCAGUUAGGGUAAACGGAAUUCCACGUGUAGCGGUGAAAUGCGUAGAUAUGUGGAAGAACACCGGUGGUGAAGACGGUUUACUGGGCUGAUACUGACGCUGAGGCGCGAAGGCCAGGGGAGCAAACGGG
Molecule: ribosomal RNA, 253 nt
Filed under: uncultured bacterium
Lineage: Bacteria
Description: partial 16S ribosomal RNA
Rfam family: Bacterial small subunit ribosomal RNA
Source: RNAcentral